UGCAAGCCAAGAUUUCGCAGCUCCAGCAAAGAAAUCUCGAGACCUCCCAAUAAUCUCUUGGGAGAUAGAAAUUCUUGAGACACGAAUUUCAUUGAAGGUCGAUGUUUUGGAUUUGAAUGUAAGCAAGAAAAUAUAAGACUUGCAAUGGUACAUAUAUUCUGUAUGACAAUUUCAUUUGUUGGAGGUGGCAAACGAGGAUCUAACACUUCUUUCAGUGUAAUAGCCUGGGCAAAUGAUGAUAGGAUAUCUCCCGGAUGCCUUCCCAUCAAAGUUUCAAGCGCCACAACUCCGAAGCUGUACACAUCACAUUUCUCUGUCACCGACAUAGUAUAAGCCAACUUUGUCCAUAUACAAAUCGAAAUUAAUAUAUAUAUUUAAAAGAGAGUUUGCUUUAGUUUUGUAGUGCAUGAGUGGUAAAUAUGAAUGUUAAGAAGAAAUAUUUUUACCUGGGGCAAUGUAUCCAUAGGUACCAGCAAGUACAGUAUGGUUGGACGAAUCAGGAUCGAGAAGUCUAGCCACGCCAAAAUCAGCAACAAAAGACUUGGAUUCUGAAUUCAACAGAACAUUGCUGCUUGAUAUGUCUCGAUGAACAAUUGGCGGGUUGCAAUCAUGAUGCAAGUAAGAUAAUGCGUGAGCAAUGUCUUUGAUGAUGUGUGCUCUUUUCAUCCACUUCAAUCCCACAGCUCCGACAUCAUUUCUCAAGGCACAAAACAAGCUUCCCUUUUCCAUGUACUCGUAAACAAGAAACAUGCAGCGCUAGUGCAAACAAAAUCCAUAAAGCUUUACAAUGCUCCUGUGACGUAUUUGUGUGAGCACUUCCACCUCAUUUUUAAAACUCUUGUCAAAAGCCGGCUCCUCUGCCUCUCGACGAUGAAGUUUCUUCAAGGCAACUAAUUUCCCACUUGGAAGUUGUGCUCGGUAGACGCUCCCAUAACCACCGGUUCCGAUACAAUAUCUGAGGUCAAAGUUCUCGGUCGCUGUAAUGAUGUCUUCGUAUGCAAUCGUCCCAUCAUAAUUCCAUACGGAAAACAAGUCUCCAUUCUUUGAUGAUGCUGGCUCAGGUUGGGUAGCCUUGCUUCGAGAUAGAUAACAAUAUCUGAGACACAAGAGACAAAGUGAAAUGGUGGUGAUAGGAACAAAUAUCUUGAUGGAAUGAAUCCUUCUGUUGUCUUUUGAAGGUAACAAGUAGGUUUGUGAAGGUGGGGAUGAAGGUGGGGAGUAAAUAGAUGGACAACGUGAGAAAUUAGGGUGUAAAUAUUUGUUGCCCUCAAAUGUAGUAUCUUUAAAAGUUGCAGAAUCGUUGGUAAUUUGUCCAUGAAGUAAAUCACAUGGUGUGAAAGAAAAAUUAAAGGGCAGUGGCAAAGGUAAGGGAACAGGGCCUGAGAGGUUAUUGUAACGAAAAUCCACAUAUUUUAAAGAGCCCAAGUCAUAUAGUUCAAAGGGUAUCUCUCCACUUAAAUUAUUGGACCUCAAAACUAGGUAGGCCAAAUUAUUACAAUACUUCAAAGAUGAUGGGAUGGAAUUUUUGAAAUGAUUGGAAGAAAAAUCAAGCUCAACCAAUCGGCUGAGAUUUCCAAGUGAAGACGGUAACUCACCUGCUAGAUUAUUUGAGGACAGGUUGAGGUAUCUGAGUUGUGGAAGGAUAAAAAUUUGAGGCGGGAUGCUUCCAGUGAGCUCAUGGUUGGCCAGGUGGAGACGGGCAAGGUUUGAGAAGCAAGAAAAGUUCAUCUUUGCAAACUUAUUUCCCACCUUGAGGAACCAUGGUGGGGAAAUCUCAGUGAUGCUUCCAGCCCGAUCACAGACUAUGCCAGUCCAGUUGCAACGAUGUGAGGUGAGGUUGCUGUAGUCACUCCACCAUCCACUCUCAAGCAAAGCCUUGCCUUCUGAUGCUAGCAAGGCCGAGUCAUCAAGUGCAGCCACAAGACCAGUACUAGAUACAAAAAUACAGGACACGAAAAUUGAGGCAUGUUUGUGUAUCUUGAAAAAUUUCAGGACUGUUGGUUCUUUGGCCAUUAAGAGAAUCACAGGUGAAAGACAUAUCAAAGAGUUGUAGCCAAUGGAAGGGAACAAAGCCUGAGAGGUUAUUGUAACGAAAAUUCACAUAAGUUAAAGAAAGCAAAUUAUGUAGUUGGGAGGGUAUUUGUCCACUUAAAUUAUUGUAGCUCAAAUCUAGAUAGGUCAAACAUUUACAAUUCAUCAAAGAUGAAGCUAUGCAUCCAUUGAUUUGGUUGUUAGAUAGGUCUAGAAAUGUCAAGUUUCUUAAAUUUCCUAAUGAAAUAGGAAUUGGACCAGUAAGUGUAUUAUAACUCACGUCCAAACUCUCUAGAUUUCUCAUGUUCCCUAUUUUUCUAGGGAGGGCACUUUGGAGACUAUUAUGAUCCAUAAAUAAAUGCGUUAGAUUGUCCAAAUGACAAAGUGCUGAAGGGAUUGGGCCGCUGAAGCUGUUAUAAGACAAGUUCAAAGUAACAAGAUUUUUAAGAUUGCCUAGUUCUGGACGGAUGGAAUUGAUGAAAUCCGAGACAGAUAACAACAUCCGAGACACAAGAGACAAAGUGAAAUGGUGGUGAUAGGAAGAAAUAUCUUGAUGGAAUGAAUUAUUAUGUUGUCUUUUGAAGGUAACAAGUAGGUUUUUGAAGGUGGGGAGUAAAUAGAUGAACAACGUGACAAAUCAGGGUGUAAAUCUUUGUUGCCUUCAAAUGCAGUAUCUUGAAAAAUUUCAGGACUGUUGGUUCUUUGGCUAUGGAGAGAAUCACAGGUGAAAGACACAUCAAAGGGUUGUGGCAAUUGCAAGGGAACAAAGCCUGAGAGGUUAUUAUAACGAAAAUUCACAUAAGAUAAAGAGGGCAAAUUAUAUAGUUGGGAGGGUAUUUGUCCACUUAAAUUACUGUAGCUCAAAUCUAGAUAGGUCAAAUAUUUACAAUUCUUCAAAGAUGAAGCUAUGGAUCCAUUGAUUUGGUUAUGAGAAAGGUCUAGUUUCUUUAAAUUGGUUAAACUGCCGAGUAUAAUUGGAAAUGAACCUUUGAUAAUGUUUGAACUCAGAUAUAAUUCUUUCAAAUUUAUCAAGUUUCGUAUUUCCAACGGAAUGGAUCCCAUGAUUUGGUUGUUAGAUAGGUCAAUGCCAAGUUUUUUAAAUCUCCUAAUGAAAUAGGAAUCGAACCACUAAUUUUGUUGCCUUUGAGAAACAAACGAUAUAGUUUUGUCAAAUUUCCUAUUUCUGAAGAGAUGGAUCCAUUGAUUUGAUUGUCAAAAAGAUGCAAAAGAAUUAAAUUGGAUAAAAGACCAAAUGUAGAAGGAAUUGAACCAGCUAGGAUAUUAGAGGAAAGAUCUAAAUGUUCUAGAUUCGUCAAAUUUCCUAUUUGCAAAGGGAUGGAUCCAUUGAUUCCGUUAUAAGAAAGAUCUAGAUUAGUCAAAUCGGAUAAAAAACCUAUCGUUGAAGGAAUUGAACCAACUAGGAUAUUAGAUCUAAGCUGUAAAUCUUUUAAAUUCGUCAAAUUUCCUAUUUCUAAAGGGAUGGAUCCAUUGAUUGCGUUGCGAGAAAGGAUCAAAGACCUCAACUUGGCUAACCUACCCAAUGUUCGAGGGAUUGGACCAGUAAGUGUAUUAUAACUCACGUCCAAACUCUCUAGAUUUCUCAUGUUCCCUAUUUCUCUAGGGAGGGCACUUUCGAGACUAUUAUGAUCCAUAAAUAAAUGCGUUAGAUUGUCCAAAUGACAAAGUGCCGAAGGGAUUGGGCCGCUGAAGCUGUUAAACGACAAGUUCAAAGUAACAAGAUUUUUAAGAUUGCCUAGUUCUGGAGGGAUGGAAUUGAUGAAAUCAUUGGAAGAAAAAUCAAGCUCAACUAAUCGGCUGAGAUUUCCAAGUGAAGACGGUAACUCACCUGCUAGAUUAUUUGAGGACAGGUUGAGGUAUGUGAGUUGUGGAAUGAUAGAAAUUUGAGGCGGGAUGCUUCCAUUGAGCUCAUGGUUGGCCAGGUGGAGACGGACAAGGUUUGAGAAGCAAGAAAAGUUCAUCUUUCCAAACUUAUUUCCCACCUUGAGGAGCUCUGGAGGUGGGGAAAUCUCAGUGAUGCUUCCAGCUCGAUCACAGACUAUGCCAGUCCACUUGCAACGAUGUGAGGUGAGGUUGCUGUAGUCACUCCACCAUCCACUCUCAAGCAAAGCCUUGCCUUCUGAUGCUAGCAAGGCUGAGUCAUCAAGUGCAGCCACAAGACCAGUACUAGAUACAAAAAUACAGGACAAGAAAAAUGAGAUGCUUAAAAUCGCGAGAAGUUUUGGCUCAUAAUCAAUGGAUGCCAUGUUUGCGUGUAAUGCUUCCCUUCAAUGAGAAUGCUAAAUUUAUGAUUGAAGUGCAUGGUUUUUUCAUGAACUCAUUCCAAGUCAAGUUCCUCUGGUCUUUCACGUGUACUAUUCUUACUGUCUUUUUGAGACCAAAGAUGAUGCGUGGGCAUAUGCGUUCAUUGCAAGACUUUUCAUUCUAUCAAUUCCAAUGCCUAAGACAAUAGCUUCAGAUUGUCUAGCUAGUUUUUUUAUUUUUCCACAAAGGAGAAAAAGGUUCAGCAAUCACCAAUAGUAUCAUUUGGAAAUUAAGGGCAGUCAAUUACUAUGUUGCAGCUAUGAUUAGUUUUUUUAUGGUUAAAAACUAUAUAGUUGUUAUUAUCGUGUUUUUUAGUUGAAAAAAAUUAAAACAUGUAAAGGUUAAGUUGAAGUAACCUAGUUAACUUAAUGGGUUAAAAAGUAACUUGAAAAAUUAUUAAAAAUAUAGUUUCACUAAAAAUAUUCAAGACAACAUGUUUUUGAAAAAAUAUCGAGACGAAAAAUAUAUUGAAUCAACUCGGGUUAACCUGUCAAAUUCACAACUCGAAUAAUAAGACCGGAAUAACCACAUACAAAGUAAAUCAAAAUUAAAUAUAAAACUCAAUUCUCAAUUAAACCAAUGUUAAAAGAUGAAAUAAAAAAAUUAAUUAAAAAAAGAUAUCAAAAAACAAACAACUCAGGUUAACCUGUCAAAGCUACAACCUGGAUCAUAUGACUGAAAUAACUCAUUAUAAAACAAAUUACAAUAAGUUAUAAAGUUUAAUUCUCAAUCAAUCUAAUGUUGAAGGAUGAAAUUGAAAAAAAAUCAAUUCAAAAAAACUAAAUCAACUCAAGUUAACCAGCCAAACUCGUGACAUAUAUAAUAAGACCGAAUAACCUCGUAGAAAGCAAAAACAAAUAUGAAGCUUAAUCAUAAAUCAACCAAAUGUUAAAAGAUAAAAUUGAGAAAAAAUAAUUAAACUAAAAAAAUAACAAACGAACCUGAGUUGACCUAUACAACUCGAGAUAAGAAAUCUCAAUGUUUAGUGAUGAAAUUAAAAAAAAAAAAAUGAGUCAACCCAGGUUGCUAGCCAAAUUGUGACCCAGGUAAUGAGGUUAGGAUAACUUUACAGAAAGCAAGACCAAAAAAAUUUGAAGCCUGAUUCCAAAUUAACUAAAUGUUGAAGGAUAAAAUUGAAAAAAAAAUUAAAAAAAAAAAAUUAAUCUCAGUUACACUGUCAAACUCAUGAUCCAGAUCAAGAAAUCAGGAUAACUUUAUAGAAAGUAAAUAAAAAAAAAUUAUAAAGCUCAAUUUUCAAUAAACCUAUUGUUGAAGGUUGAAAUUGAAGGGAAAAAAAUCAACAUAAAAACAAGAUACAAUAAAAUGACCUCAAUCUACACGAGUUAACUUGCAAAACAUGUGAUUCAAGUCACAAGAUCAGGAUAAUCUCAUAGAAAACAAACCAAAUAAAUCAUGAAAUCUAAUUCAUAAUCAACUAAAUGUUGAAAGAUAAAAUUGAAAAAAUAUUAAUUAAAAAAGAUUUAAAAAAAACUCGAGUCAACUAGGUUAACCCGCCAAACUCACGACUCGGGUCAUGAAAUCGAGAUAACCUCAUAAAAAACAAACCAAAAUAAAUCAUGAAGUAUAAUUGUCAAUCAACCUAAUGUUGAAAGAUGAGAAUGAAAAAAAAUGUCAAUUAAAAAAAACUCAACUCAAUCGAAUUAACCCGCCAAACCCCUUACAUAGAUUAUGAGACUAGGCUGACCACGUAUAAAGCAUACCACAAUAAAUUAUGAAGUUCAAUCUUCAAUAAAUUAAAUGUUGAAGUAUGAAAUUAGGAAGAAACAUAGAUUUAGAAAGGGAAAAAAAAGAGGAAAAAAAACACUAUUAAGAUAAAUAGUGUUUUAUGAGGUGAUGAACAAUAAAAUCAUCACCUCUUUUAGUUUAUACUACUAAUUAUUUGACACGCGCUUCUCUGCGGGUCAAAUAAUGUUUUGGGAAGAAAAAACAUAUGCAAGCUUUUCAAAUGUGUUUUUGUACAAAAAGAAAUCUAGUUGUAAAUCUAAAGGCAUAUAUAUGCAUUUAAUUAAAUAAAUCAAAAAUAAUCUCUAUUGAUAAAUGCAAAUAUAUAUAUAUAUAUAUAUAUAUAUAUAUAUAUAUAUAUUGACGUGUCGAUUCCAUUUGCCUAGCUGCAAGUUGAUUAUUGUUUUUUUCUAACGUAAAUGAAUUAAUAUGUAGAUGUUAUUAGUGUGUUUUUUUAUGGCGAGUAAAAAAUUAAUUGUGAACUUACAUAUAAUAAAAUAUAAUGAAGAUCACAUGAGUUAAUAAAGAAAUGUAAGAUCUCAAGCAUAUUUUUAAUGUAGUAUAAAAAUGAAACAAUGUUGCAACUGUUACAUUGUUUUCUUAUUCCUUGUAUAAUAAUUUUUCAAGAAAACAAAUUAUGAAAGAAUAAAGAUAAGAAAAAAAAAUAAAUUAAAAUUAAAAUUAAUAAUAUUACAAUGUUUUUGUAUUCUGGUAAUUUUAGAGCUAGUUUGUUGUUUAUUUUUGUGUUUUAAAAGUAUUUUAAUAAAAUUUAUUUUUUUAUUUUUUUACUUCAAAUUAAUUUUUUAUAAUUUUAGAUUUUUAUAAUUUGCUGAUGUCAAAAAUAAAUUUAAAAAAAAUAUAUUAUUUUAAUAUAUUUUCAAAUAAAAAUUAUUUUAAAAUAAUUAAUAUCACAACUAAUGCAAUACACUAUUUGAAAUCCCACGCUGGUAUAAGAAGGCUUAAGCCAUUAGCUGCUUGGGCUUGUUUCGUAUACAUGUUAGAAUAGUUUGUUUUGGUUUCGGUUCAAUUGAGGGCCCGCGAACAAGAAACUUAUGCGGGGCUGUAAUCAUUAAAGAAAAUUAUUGAAUACACAGCCAUGAGAUAAUUAAUAAAAUCCUAAAUAAAUAUAUUAUCCUUGCAUUCUAAUUUAAUAAAUUUUUUUAACGAAAAUAAGCUCUCUCUUUUUUUCUGUCGUUAGAUAUUAUUUGAAUUUUACCGGGAUAUUCUAAAUGCCUUGUUUUAUAAUUAAUGCUACUGUAAAAAGUUAAAGUCAAGAAGGCUUUCAUAUUAGGCCUCGAUAACAUUAUUUUCUUAAUUUUCUUGUUUUUUCUACAUGUAUUUGGAUUUUUUUUUCUUUAUUUUUUAUGGUUAUUUUAUAAUUUUUAUUUUCAGUAAAAAUAAGUUGAAUACUUAUUUAAACAAGUUGUAAUUUAUUUUUAUAACUAGUAGCUAGUAUAUAAACAAUUAAGUUGUAUUAGGCCUAGAAAACAUUUAUUUUUCUUGUAAUUUAUUUGAUUAUUAUUGAGAAUUAUUUUGUCUUCGUGUGAUAAAUUAGCUCUGGAGUAUCUCAAACCUUUAAAAAAAAAAAAAUUGUUUUCUUUUCAAUCUUGUUCAGCUCCGUCAAGCUUUUUCUUAACUAGCCAUUUACCAUUGCUUCGCUUUUGAUUAGUAUAUCAUUAUUUUAAAAAUAAAAAUUAUUAAGCACGUUUUUAUAUAUUAAAACAUAAAUUUAACUCAAUUCUAGUUAUCAUGUCCAUGAACACCUUGUAAUGUUUGAUUACUAUCGCCCCAUUCUCCAUUUCAGCAAUAACUUAGACUUACUAGUAGUAAUCUCAUUGUUCUUAAUUUCAGUGAUGGUUUUUUAUGUUUCGGUGAUUCUUCCCUUUUAAUCCUACUGUGAUCUUUAAUCAGGUUACUUGUGAGCAUGUUAAUUUACCGAGGACGGGUGGUGCAGUGGUGAAGCAUAUGAUAAUAAGAGCCUGAUGUUGUGUGCUCCGGCAAGCAAGUUUUGGGCUUAAUAGCAUCAGGACAGUUGCGCACUCCAAGCUUUUUCUCAUUUAAAGAUAUCAUGAAGGGGAAUAAGGAUGACCAAUGUGGUAUCGUGGUAAAGAAUUUCAACUUAAAAACCUGGUUUCAUUCUUUUAUAAACCAGAGGCUGAUACGAAGAAAUCAUUUUUCCUGUUAGUAAAUGUCUCCGAGACAACAAAAACUCUCUUUUAACUUCUUUCGGUUCCAAACAUUGGACACAAAUCUUGAAGUGGUAUUCCUUUGGAAGAUGAUGGAAAAUCCCAUCCGUGCCAAAUGAUAAAUACCAAAGCACAUCAGUCGGAAAAAAUCAAUCCAAACACUGCUUUUAGGCAUCCAAUAUACAAGAGCUUGCAGGAACAAAUGGAGUUAACAAAUAUCUUCAACAUAUUUCAAGUAAGGAUUUGCCUAGUUAUAAGAUGAGUGAUGAUUUCAAUUUAACCCAGAGAGUGAUGCUCUAAUUGAUUCUACAGUACACGAGAAAAGAGUGCUUCGUUAAAAAUACAUACAAUGUCACCCUAAAAUAUUAUAAAGACAUUUAAUGUACUAAAAGAAAAAGUUCUUCCAAAAUUAAGAAAUAUUAUAAACUUUAAUGUGAGCUCAAAGUUCACAUUUUCAACUAGGAACUGUGAUAUCACCUCCAUUUGCGUGCAUGCCAAGAGUUCGCAGCUCCAGCAAAGAAAUCUCAAGACCUGCCAAUGAUUUCUUGGAAGAUAGAAAUUCUUGAGACACGAAUUUCAUCGAAGGUCGAGAUUUUGGAUUCGAAUGUAAGCAAGAGAAUGCUAGAGUUGCAAUAAUACAUAUAUUCUAUAUGACAAUUUCAUCUGUUGGAGGUGACAAACGAGGAUCUAACACUUCUUUCAGUGUAAUAGCCCGAGCAGAUGAUGAUAAGAAAUCUCCUGGAUGCCUUCCCAUCAACGUUUCUAGCGCCACCACUCCAAAGCUAUAGACAUCAAUUUUCUUUGUCACCAACAUAGUAUAAGCCAACUCUGUCCAUAAACAAAAUGAAAUUAAAAAAUAUAUAAAAGAGAGUUUGCUUUAAUGUUGGUGUGCAUGGCAUUAGUGAUACACGUAUAUAAAGAAGAAAUAUUUGACCUGGGGCAAUGUAUCCAUAGGUACCAGCAAGUACUGUAUGGUUGGACGAAUCAGGAUCGAGAAGUAUAGCCACACCAAAAUCAACAACAAAAGACUUGGAUUUUGAAUUCAACAGAACAUUGCUGCUUGACAUGUCUCGAUGAACAAUUGGCGGGUUGCAAUCAUGAUGCAAGUAAGAUAAUGCGUGAGCAAUGUCUUUAAUGAUGUGUGCUCUUUUCAUCCACUUCAAUUCCACAGCUCCAACAUCAUUUCUCAAGGCACAAAACAAGCUUCCCUUUUCCAUGUACUCGAAAACAAGAAACAUGCAGCGAUGGUGCAAACAGAAUCCAUAAAGCUUUACAAUGCUCCUGUGACGUAUAUGUGUGAGCACUUCCACCUCAUUUUUGAAACUCUUGUCAAAAGCCGACUCCUCUGCCUCUCGACGAUGAAGUUUCUUCAAGGCAACUAAUUUCCCACUUGGAAGUUGUGCUCGGUAGACUCUCCCAUAACCACCGGUUCCGAUACAAUAUCUGAGGUCAAAGUUCUCGGUCGCUGCAAUGAUAUCUUCGUAUGCAAUCGUCCCAUCAUAAUUUCAUACGGAAAACAAGUCUCUGUUCUUUGAUGAUGCUGGCUCAGGUUGGGUAGCCUUGCAUCCAGAUAGAUAACAACAUCCGAGACACAAGAGACAAAGUGAAAUGGUGGUGAUAAGAAGAAAUAUGUUGAUGGAAUGAAUCCUUCUGUUGGUUUUUGAAGGUAACGAACAGUUUGAGAAAUCAGGGUGUAAAUAUUUGUUGCCCUCAAAUGUAGUAGCUUUAAAAGUUGCAGAAUCGUUGGUAAUUUUCCUACGAAGAAGUAAAUCACAUGUGAAAUAAAAAUUAAAGGGUGGUGGCAAAUUCAAGGGAAUAGGGCCUGAGAGAUUAUUGUAACUAAAAUUCACAUAUUGUAAAGAGGUCAAAUCAUAUAGAUUGGAGGGUAUCUCUUCACUUAAAUUAUUGCAGCUCAUAUCUAGGAAGGUCAAAUUCCCUAUUUCACUAGGGAGGGCACCUUCGAAACUAUUGGGAUCCAUUUGUAAAUGCGUUAGAUUUUCCAAAUGACAAAGUGCCGAAGGGAUUGGGCCGCUGAAGUUGUUAUGAGACAAGUUCAAAGUAACAAGAUUUUUAAGAUUGCCUAGUUCUGGAGGGAUGGAAUUGAUGAAAUUAUUGGAAGAAAAAUCAAGCUCAACUAAUCGGCUGAGAUUUCCAAGUGAAGACGGUAACUCACCUGUUAGAUUAUUUGAGGACAGGUUGAGGUAUCUGAGUCGUGGGAGGAUAGAAAUUUGAGGCGGGAUGCUCCCAAUGAGCUCAUGGUUGGCCAGGUGGAGACGGGCAAGGUUUGAGAAGCAAGAAAAGUUCAUCUUUCCAAACUUAUUUCCCACCUUGUGGAACUCUGGAGGUGGGGAAAUCUCAGUGAUUCUUCCAGCCCGAUCACAGUCUAUGAACAGUGCAAUUAUAUGAACAAUAUUUUUCGUAUAUAGUUGACAUGAACAGUGCUGGGAAUUGCACUGUUCACUCAAGAAAUAGCGAACAGUUCAAUUCUCUUGCACUGUUCACUGCCUGCGUUUUUUUUUUUUUUUUUUGUGUGUUAGUUUUUUAAUAUUUUUUUAAAAAAAUUAGUUUAGAGUUAAUUUUAUACCUGAUAAUAUUUUAUCUAAUUUUAUUACAUGCUAAAAAUAUUAUGAAAACUGUAGUUUUUGUUGGAUGAAUCUCGUACGUAAUGGAAUUAUAAAUGGUUUCAUGGAAUAAUAAAAAUUAUAUUUAUAUAAAGUAUGAUUUAUUUCAUGAUAUAAUAGCAAUAGUUAAAUCCACAAUAUUUAAAUUAAAAAUCAUAAGUACUAAUAUAUAUUUUUAAAAUUAUUUUAUAACCUCAAUUUUAAAAGUAUUCUUAACCAAACACAUUAAAUUACUUUUUUUUCAACUUCAAUUUCAACCACAGUUUUAACCAAACACCUAUUUUCUCAAACCAAACUCAACUAAAAGCACUUUUUAUAAAACAACUUUUUUUAAAUCACAACCACAACAGCUACCACAAUACCAAACACACUCUUACUAUUUUAUAGAUAAAAUCGAUUCACCAAAUACUACUCAAGAAAAGAAAAAAAAAAAAGAUUCAUCAAAUCGGGGCCAAAUCCGACAUGCAAAACCCAAUACGAGUCCACAACUUGCCAAUAUGAAAUAGGCCCAGCUAACGAGCUCAUAAUCUCAUUCAGACAUAGCCCAGCAGCCGAGCUCAUCUGGAUAAUAGAAAUAUCCGAGGAAGCGCGCGGUCAAAACCCUUAAGGAAGGUCACGCGCCCCCAAAAACCGGUGUUUACUGACUGGCUUACAUUGUUAAACAACUCGUAGCACCAAAAAUUAAAAAAUAAAGAAAGGGAAGGCCAACAGUCAUAGUGAAGCAGGCAGCUUCAAAUAAAAUGCAAUUUGAGCAAUGUGAGUUGAAAUGCCAAGAAUCAUUGUUUUCUCAAACUACUCAGUUUUUAUUGGUCUCAAGAAUUUGCCACUCAAAAGAACAAGCAUUCCAUCUUUGAUCUGGAUGCCCCCCAAACAUAAGUUUUUUUACCUCAGCAAAAUAAAAAUGAAGCAAGGCCAUGAUGAAUAACUUUACAACAAUGCAGCAUUUCAACACAAUCUAUACAGCACAUACAAAAAUUGGCAACCGUGAAAAAAAAUGGAGAGAGGAGAGGGAGUGGAAAACCAGAUUGCUGCUAGAAAGAACUCCAAUUGCCAGAACUCUUUUUGGGAGUUUGAUCUUCAGAUGAAACCUUAAAGGGGGCACUGGAGCCAAAUGGAUCUCCAUCAUCAAAUGAAGAGAAUGCACGGCUGUGGCCAAAAUCUUUGGAGCUGUUUAUGGAGUCGAACCUUGUAAGCUUUUCUCGUGGUGAAAAGCCUCCUUCAUUCAUGCUGAAGGAAUCAAAUCUCGAGUAAUUAUCAAAAUGGUCCUCUGCUUCGCUGAACCUUGGAGAGUUGCCAAAUCUUGACAUUGGGGAACCUGCAACAGAUUCUUCAAAAAAUAUACUCUUUUUCUGGAAAGUAUUCGUUGUUGAUGUGGAUUCCGUUCUGAUUGGCUUUAGACCAAAAUCAUCAGAUCCAAAGAAAUCUCUCUCGUUCUCAGAAGAGCCCUGCUAGAUGACACAACCAAAUAAUUGAGGGCAAUGUGAAGAGAUAUCUCAGACUCUUAAUUGGUGUCCGAAAACAGCCUGGAUUCGUGGGAGUCUUGCCUGUUUAUGGUUGAAACUGAACGACAAACUAUAAUUGAAGGAGAAAAUCUAAGCAACCACCAUCUCUGCUUGAUUAAGCAAUAAGCGGGAAGAUUGAAAAAUCGUUGGUUUCUUUUUUCUUUUUUCAGCCUAAUCUGAACAACUUUCUCGCGUUUCUAAAUUUGUUUGGAUUUUAAGUGAGGAUGUAAAUUUUAAUAAUCAAAGGCUCAUGAAAUUCUGGCUCCGUUUACUGUAAAUAUUUAGAAUGAAUUACUCAUAAUCUUUUUUAAACUGACUUUUGAUUUUAAAUGUUUUUCUUUAAAAUCAUAAAACUAGACUUAACUAUUUAUUAUUAUCGUGUUAGAAGUAACUUUUAAUCUAAAAAGAGAUGAUUUAUUUAUUCUAAACCAAAGACUUUCAUGGGAUUCUAAGUUUGAUCUCAAGAUUUGUAAAUCAGAACCAUAGAACCAUCCAUCUUAAACAAAUUAGUUAUUUCAAUUUUUAAUUUUUUUUGUGGUGACGGGUGAAUUGGAUAAUGUGUGAUGGAUAUCCAAUUUGGAUUGAGGACUUGAUUAAGAAUUAGGCAAUAGUUGGAGGACUUGACAAGUAAUUGCAGAAGUAGACCUGGACAACCCUACAAUCUUGUCUUUUAGGGGAAGACUUGCCUUUCGGUUUUGGAUGAUGAGGAUUGAGGCCCUUGAGUUGCCACGUUUGUGGGUUCUGGUAAUUCUUGCAGGAAUUUGAAAUCUCGUGCUGAUUAGUCUUGCUCGUAUAAAAAGGCUUAAGCCAACAGCUGAUUGGGCUUUGUUUCGUGUUCAUGUUGGAAUAGUUUGUUUUUGCUUAGGUUCAAUUGAAGGCCCGAAAAGCCUCGAACAAGAAACUGAAUAAAGAAAAUUAUUGAAUAUACACAGCCAUGGGAUAAUUAAUAAAAUCCUAAAUAAAUAUAUUAUCCUUGCAUUCUAAUAUAAUUGCAGAAUUGGAUCGGCGACUUGUCAAUUGUCACCAUGAUAAUGGGUAUAUAUAUAGAGCUUUCAUGCAAGAGAAUAUGAACUGUCAGAUAAUCAUUUGUUAUAAUUAGACUAUGUAAAACAUGUAGCAUAUACGAUCUAUGAACGACCGUCCAACGAAAAAUAUGAUGCUCCAAAUAAUUUUUUUUUUCCUGGCUUGUCUAAGAGCAUCAGCGACAGAUGCACAUACCCCAACCUUUUUCUUAUUUAAAGAUAUCAUGAAGGGGGAAUUAAUGGGAUGAUCAAUGUGAUAACAAGGUAAAGAAUUUCAACUUUAAAAAUUGGUUUCAAUAUUUUAUAAAUCAGAUGCUGAUACGAAGAAAUCAUGUGCUCAUAAUCGGAUACUAUGAUAUAUUUUCUCUGUUAGUAAAUGUCUCUGAGAUUGAAAAUAAUUUAUAGCUAGGGAUCUUGUACAGCUACAGUGUUGUGCAUUUUACUAGAUAGACAUGCUCUUGUAUAUGGUCAAAGCUUGGUCCCUAACAUGAGACGUAAAUCUUCCUUUGGAGUGGAAGAUGAUUGAAAAUUCUAUCUGUGCCAAAUGAUAAAUAAUAAGGUGCAUCAUUCAGGGGGGGGAAAAACAAAACAUGUUGCUCAGAUAGUGACAGGAGUCAUAACAGACCGUAGAGAGUAGAUCUAAUCAUUGCUUUCAGGCAUCUAUUAUACAAAAGCUUGCAGGGACAAAUUAAUGGAGUUAACAAAUAUCUUCUGCAUAUUUCAAGUGUGGAUUUGCCUAAUUAUAAGAUGAGUGAUGAUUUCAAUUUAACAUAGACGUACAGAGAGGUAGACUUAAUAUGAUGCUCAUAUAUAUUGAUACUAGCUAUCAUGCACAAGAAAAGUGUGCAUUAUUAAAAUUACAUAACAAUGUCACACUAAAAUAUUACAAAGACAUGUAGUGUGCUAAAACAAAACAAAAGGAAAAAAAUUCAUCCAAAUUUAAGAAAUUCUAUAAACGCAUGCUCUUGGAGGUGCUCUCGUUGAAGUUCCAUAUGAGCUCGAAGUUGACUUUUUCAGCGAGGAACUGUGAUCUCACCUACAUUUGUGUGCAAGCCAAGAUUUCGCAACUCCAACAAAGAAAUCUCGAGACCUCCCAAUAAUCUCUUGGGAGAUAUAAAUUCUUGAGACACGAAUUUCAUUGAAGGUCGAUAUUUUGGAUUUGAAUGUAAGCAAGAAAAUAUGAGACUUGCAAUGGUACAUAUAUUCUGUAUGACAAUCUCAUUUUUUGGAGGUGGCAAACGAGGAUCUAACACUUCUUUCAAUGUAAUAGCCUGAGCAGAUGAUGAUAGGAUAUCUCCCGGAUGCCUUCCCAUCAAAGUUUCAAGCGCCACAACUCC
Molecule: long non-coding RNA, 14764 nt
Filed under: Populus tremula
Lineage: Eukaryota; Viridiplantae; Streptophyta; Magnoliopsida; Malpighiales; Salicaceae
Description: long non-coding RNA (PTRE_LNC002995)
Source: RNAcentral